CCUACGGGUGGCAGCAGUGAGGAAUAUUGGUCAAUGGGCGUAAGCCUGAACCAGCCAAGUCGCGUGAGUGAAGAAGUAUUUCGGUAUGUAAAGCUCUAUCAGCAGGGAAGAAAAUGCCGGUACCUGACUAAGAAGCCCCGGCUAACUACGUGCCAGCAGCAGAGGUAAUACGUAGGGGGACAGCGUUAUCCGGAUUUUCUGGGUGUAAAGGGAGCGUAGACGGCAGAGCAAGUCUGAAGUGAAAGCCCGCGGCCCACCUGCGGGACUGCUUUGGAAACUGCCCGGCUAGAGGGCUGGAGAGGUAAGCGGAAUUCCUAGUGUAGCGGUGAAAUGCGUAGAUAUUAGGAGGAACACCAGUGGCGAAGGCGUCUUACUGGACAGUAACUGACGUUGAGGCUCGAAAGCGUGGGGAGCAAACAGGAUUAGAUACCCCUGUAGUC
This 440-nucleotide ribosomal RNA is filed under the name uncultured bacterium. Its description in RNAcentral is "partial 16S ribosomal RNA". It matches the Rfam family "Bacterial small subunit ribosomal RNA", at positions 338 to 795 of the family's 1533-position model. The record is from RNAcentral.